CGCGUAGGCGGUUUCUAAAGUCAGAUGUGAAAGCCCGGGGCUUAACCCCGGAAGUGCAUUUGAAACUUAGGGACUUGAGUAUGGGAGAGGGAAGUGGAAUUCCUGGUGUAGCGGUGAAAUGCGUAGAUAUCAGGAGGAACACCGGUGGCGAAGGCGGCUUCCUGGACCAAUACUGACGCUGAGGCGCGAAGGCGGGGGGAGCAAACA
This 207-nucleotide ribosomal RNA is filed under the name uncultured bacterium. RNAcentral describes it as "partial 16S ribosomal RNA". It matches the Rfam family "Bacterial small subunit ribosomal RNA", at positions 568 to 774 of the family's 1533-position model. The record is from RNAcentral.